This 493-nucleotide ribosomal RNA is filed under the name uncultured bacterium. Its description in RNAcentral is "partial 16S ribosomal RNA". It matches the Rfam family "Bacterial small subunit ribosomal RNA", at positions 29 to 523 of the family's 1533-position model. The record is from RNAcentral.
AUUGAGCGCUGGCGGCAUGCUUUACACAUGCAAGUCGAACGGUAACAGGUUAAGCUGACGAGUGGCGAACGGGUGAGUAAUGCAUCGGAACGUGCCCGGUCGUGGGGGAUAACGCAGCGAGAGUUGCGCUAAUACCGCAUACGAUCUGAGGAUGAAAGCGGGGGACCGUAAGGCCUCGCGCGAUCGGAGCGGCCGAUGUCAGAUUAGGUAGUUGGUGGGGUAAAGGCUCACCAAGCCAACGAUCUGUAGCUGGUCUGAGAGGACGACCAGCCAGACUGGGACUGAGAAACGGCCCAGACUCCUACGGGAGGCAGCAGUGGGGAAUUUUGGACAAUGGGCGAAAGCCUGAUCCAGCAAUGCCGCGUGCAGGAAGAAGGCCUUCGGGUUGUAAACUGCUUUUGUACGGAGCGAAAAGGUCUCCUCUAAUACAGGGGGCUCAUGACGGUACCGUAAGAAUAAGCACCGGCUAACUACGUGCCAGCAGCCGCCGCCG